This 373-nucleotide long non-coding RNA is filed under the name Daucus carota (carrot). RNAcentral describes it as "long non-coding RNA (DCAR_LNC003609)". The record is from RNAcentral. Lineage: Eukaryota; Viridiplantae; Streptophyta; Magnoliopsida; Apiales; Apiaceae.
AAUUAAGUCCGUAGGGGGAUUUCAAAACCUAGUGCCCUAAGACCGUUUGGUUUGGGAGUCACUGAUCCAAAGCUCGUUACAUGAGUAACAUUGUUUGCCUAAGAAAACGGACAAAAUAAAGUCAAUGCAAAAAAAAAAGAAAAAAAAAAGAAAAAGAAAAAAAAAAGAAUAAGAGUUUGUGAAGUUUGGCUAGAUAUUUGUUUCGAUAGAGAUUGGGUCAGUUCAAAAUUGGUUGAAAAAGAGAAAGUGUUUUUAGACAAUUAGGAUCCAUCAAAGGCCUUAAAUUACUUACACUCCUUGGAUUUCUAGUAAAUCUUUGUGUCGAUGCAAGUAGAUUAGAGACAACUGUAUCUUGAUUAUUAGUAGAUGAGUC